Molecule: ribosomal RNA, 497 nt
Filed under: uncultured bacterium
Lineage: Bacteria
Description: partial 16S ribosomal RNA
Rfam family: Bacterial small subunit ribosomal RNA
Source: RNAcentral
GAUGAACGCUGGCGGCGUGCCUAAUACAUGCAAGUCGAGCGAACAGACGAGGAGCUUGCUCCUUCGACGUUAGCGGCGGACGGGUGAGUAACACGUAGGUAACCUACCUAUAAGACUGGGAUAACUUCGGGAAACCGGAGCUAAUACCGGAUAAUAUUUCGAACCGCAUGGUUCGAUAGUGAAAGAUGGCUUUGCUAUCACUUAUAGAUGGACCUGCGCCGUAUUAGCUAGUUGGUAAGGUAACGGCUUACCGAGGCAACGAUACGUAGCCGACCUGAGAGGGUGAUCGGCCACACUGGAACUGAGACACGGUCCAGACUCCUACGGGAGGCAGCAGUAGGGAAUCUUCCGCAAUGGGCGAAAGCCUGACGGAGCAACGCCGCGUGAGUGAUGAAGGCCUUCGGAUCGUAAAACUCUGUUAUUAGGGAAGAACAAACGUGUAAGUAACUGUGCACGUCUUGACGGUACCUAAUCAGAAAGCCACGGCUAACUACGUG